ACAGUGAAUCGGAGGUACCUUUUACUACUUUUCCUUUAUUCUUGUUUCUUAAACGAAGAAAUAUAUAAAAAAAACAAAGAAAAUCUAAGAUUGAAACAUCCACAAAAAUAUUCACCUUUCGAAAACUCUAUUCCUUUUUUGAUUUUAUUCUGCCUGUCCAAAAAAAACUACAAGGAGAGAUGUGGCUUUUAAAGCUGAAAAAAAAUACAAGAUUCAUUUUUUAUAUUUUUUUUAUUUUUAUCGUUUCCAUGUUGUUUGCUAAUUUUUCUUCUUCGUUUCUUGUGUUUCGCGUGCUAGUUUCAUCUUGCAGGUGUCAGACGCGUGGAAGGCCGGUGGUUGGUGCCCUAGGCGGUGGUGGUGGUGCGCGUGAUGGCCAAGGGCAGAGGGGAGUGGCGGCUGAAAUCUUGGUGGCUAGGUUUUUUGCUGUUGAAAAAUGUUUAGUUUGUUGGGCUAGGUGGGCUUUAGGGUUUUGUAUUAUUUGGGUCAU
RNAcentral lists this long non-coding RNA (487 nucleotides) under Gossypium barbadense (sea-island cotton). RNAcentral describes it as "long non-coding RNA (GBAR_LNC008765)". Lineage: Eukaryota; Viridiplantae; Streptophyta; Magnoliopsida; Malvales; Malvaceae. The record is from RNAcentral.